Molecule: ribosomal RNA, 333 nt
Filed under: Triticum aestivum (bread wheat)
Lineage: Eukaryota; Viridiplantae; Streptophyta; Magnoliopsida; Poales; Poaceae
Description: partial small subunit ribosomal RNA
Source: RNAcentral
AUGCAAGGAUCAGAGGAAGGCGGGGAGCUGGCCUUCUCCAUGUCUCGGGGGAGAGUGUCUUCCUUGGAUUCAACAAGAAGGGGACCCGACCUUCUUCACAUCUCGUGCAACAAGGGUGAUCGACGCAGACUAGCACAGCCCGGUGGUGUCGUGCUCUUCAACCACUCGGAGACGGACUUCGCCAUGAAGCCCGAAGACUACAUCGUGCAGAUGACCAUCCAGAUGAUUGUGAAUUGUGACACCGGAGGUCGCCGAGGUGGAGGACCUCGACGCCACCGUCCGGCGGGAGGGAGGGUUCGGGUCCACCGGUGGUUGAACUCCGAAUCUUGGUAG